AUCGUCGACGACGAUGACCUCAUCAGCUACAUCAUCGUCGGCCUUGAGGAAGACUAUGAACCUGUCAUCCAAUCUAUUGUUGGGCGCCCAGAUAAAGUCACCAUCGGUGAGGUCUUUGCUCAGUUUCUAAGCUUCGAGG
Molecule: small nucleolar RNA, 139 nt
Filed under: Oryza punctata
Lineage: Eukaryota; Viridiplantae; Streptophyta; Magnoliopsida; Poales; Poaceae
Description: Small nucleolar RNA Z247
Rfam family: Small nucleolar RNA Z247
About the family: Z247 is a member of the C/D class of snoRNA which contain the C (UGAUGA) and D (CUGA) box motifs.
Source: Rfam by way of RNAcentral